Molecule: ribosomal RNA, 1611 nt
Filed under: metagenome
Description: bacterial LSU rRNA
Rfam family: Bacterial large subunit ribosomal RNA
Source: RNAcentral
AAAUGCCGGUGUGAGUAGCGAAAGAUAGGUGAGAAUCCUAUCCAUCGAAAGCCUAAGGUUUCCAGGGGAAGGCUCGUCCGCCCUGGGUAAGUCGGGACCUAAGGUGAGGCCGAAAGGCGUAGCCGAUGGACAACAGGUUGAUAUUCCUGUACCACUUAUUAAACUGAUGGAGUGACGGAGAAGGCUAAGUUGAGCGUGUGAUUGGAUUCACGUGUAAGCAGUGAGGUGGUCAUGUAGGCGAAUCCGCAUGGCAUAACAUUGAGCUGUGAUGCCGAAGCCGAAUGGCGAAGUCAACUGACGUCACGCUUCCAAGAAAAGCUUCUAGGGUUAAUUUAAUAAGUGCCCGUACCGAUAACCGACACAGGUAGGCGAGGAGAGAAUCCUAGGAUGAGCGAGAGAACUCUUGUUAAGGAACUCGGCAAAAUGACCCCGUAACUUCGGGAGAAGGGGUGCUUGUGAAAGCAAGCCGCAGUGAAUAGGCCCAGGCGACUGUUUAUCAAAAACACAGGUCUCUGCUAAACCGCAAGGUGAUGUAUAGGGGCUGACGCCUGCCCGGUGCUGGAAGGUUAAGAGGAGAGGUUAGCGCAAGCGAAGCUUUGAAUUGAAGCCCCAGUAAACGGCGGCCGUAACAAUAACGGUCCUAAGGUAGCGAAAUUCCUUGUCGGGUAAGUUCCGACCCGCACGAAAGGCGUAACGAUCUGGGCGCUGUCUCAACAAGAGACUCGGUGAAAUCAUAGUACCUGUGAAGAUGCAGGUUACCCGCGACAGGACGGAAAGACCCCGUGGAGCUUUACUGUAGCUUGAUAUUGAGCACUGGUGGCACAUGUACAGGAUAGGUAGGAGACGAAGAAACCAGGACGCCAGUCUUGGUGGAGUCGCUGUUGGGAUACUACCCUUGUGUCACUGGGGUUCUAACCCGUGGCCCUUAUCGGGUCAGGGAACAGUGUCAGGUGGGCAGUUUGACUGGGGCGGUCGCCUCCCAAAGAGUAACGGAGGCGCCCAAAGGUUCCCUCAGAAUGGUUGGAAAUCAUUCGAAGAGUGUAAAGGCAGAAGGGAGCUUGACUGCGAGACCUACAAGUCGAGCAGGGACGAAAGUCGGGCUUAGUGAUCCGGCGGUACCGAAUGGAAGGGCCGUCGCUCAACGGAUAAAAGCUACCCCGGGGAUAACAGGCUGAUCUCCCCCAAGAGUUCACAUCGACGGGGAGGUUUGGCACCUCGAUGUCGGCUCAUCGCAUCCUGGGGCUGUAGUCGGUCCCAAGGGUUGGGCUGUUCGCCCAUUAAAGCGGUACGCGAGCUGGGUUCAGAACGUCGUGAGACAGUUCGGUCCCUAUCCGCCGUGGGCGUAGGAAAUUUGAGAGGAGCUGUCCUUAGUACGAGAGGACCGGGAUGGACACACCGCUGGUGUACCAGUUGUUCUGCCAGGAGCAUAGCUGGGUAGCUACGUGUGGACGGGAUAAACGCUGAAAGCAUCUAAGCGUGAAGCCCCCCUCAAGAUGAGAUAUCCCAUUCGAAAGAAGUAAGAUCCCUUGAAGACGACGAGGUUGAUAGGUCAGGAGUGGAAGUGUGGUGACACAUGGAGCGGACUGAUACUAAUCGAUCGAGGACUUAACC